AAACUAACAAGGAUUCCCCUAGUAACGGCGAGUGAACCGGGAAGAGCUCAAAUUUGAAAUCUGGCGUCCUUCGGGCGUCCGAGUUGUAAUCUAUAGAAACGUUUUCCGUGCCGGACCGUGUCCAAGUCCCUUGGAACAGGGUAUCAGAGAGGGUGACAAUCCCGUACUUGACACGACGACCGGUGCUCUGUGAUACGUUCUCUACGAGUCGAGUUGUUUGGGAAUGCAGCUCAAAAUGGGUGGUAAACUCCAUCUAAAGCUAAAUAUUGGUGGGAGACCGAUAGCGAACAAGUACCGUGAGGGAAAGAUGAAAAGCACUUUGGAAAGAGAGUUAAACAGUAUGUGAAAUUGUUGAAAGGGAAACGAUUGAAGUCAGUCGUGACCGUUGGGUUCAGCCGGUUCUGCCGGUCUACUCCCUUCGGUCGGGUCAACAUCGGUUUUGACCGGCGGAUAAGGAAGGGAGGAAUGUGGCACCCUCCGGGGUGUGUUAUAGCCUCUCGUCGCAUACGUCGGUCGAGACCGAGGAACGCAGCUCGCCUUUAUGGCCGGGGUUCGCCCACGUCCGAGCUUAGGAUGUUGACAUAAUGGCUUUAAACGAC
Molecule: ribosomal RNA, 599 nt
Filed under: Kwoniella heveanensis
Lineage: Eukaryota; Fungi; Basidiomycota; Tremellomycetes; Tremellales; Cryptococcaceae
Description: eukaryotic LSU rRNA
Rfam family: Eukaryotic large subunit ribosomal RNA
Source: RNAcentral